This 422-nucleotide ribosomal RNA is filed under the name uncultured archaeon. RNAcentral describes it as "partial 16S ribosomal RNA". It matches the Rfam family "Archaeal small subunit ribosomal RNA", at positions 323 to 746 of the family's 1478-position model. The record is from RNAcentral.
CUACGGGCCGCAGCAGGCGCGGAAACUUUACAAUGCACGCAAGUGUGAUAAGGGAAUCCAAAGUGCUUACGUUUUACGUAGGCUUUUGCCAAGUCUAAACAGCUUGGAGAAUAAGUGGUGGGUAAGACUGGUGCCAGCAGCCGCGGUAACCCCAGCGCCACGAGUGGGAGUCGCUUUUAUUGGGCCUAAAGCGUUCGUAGCCUGUUUAGUAAGUCUUUUGUGAAAUUGUCAGGCUUAACCUGACAGCGUGCAAGAGAUACUACUUUUCUUGGGACCGGGAGGAGUAUGAGGUAUUCCAUGGGGAACGGUAAAAUGUAAUAAUCCAUGGAGGACCACCAGUGGCGAAGGCGUCAUACUAGAACGGAUUCGACGGUGAGGGACGAAGGCCAGGGGAGCAAAACGGAUUAGAUACCCCCGUAGUC